Lotus japonicus is the source of this 1603-nucleotide RNA transcript. It is a transcript of the gene named probable glucan 1,3-beta-glucosidase A, with no coding region annotated. The record is from RefSeq and is a predicted model, not a curated record. Lineage: Eukaryota; Viridiplantae; Streptophyta; Magnoliopsida; Fabales; Fabaceae. The transcript has 8 exons.
GCAUUCAGAGGAUGAGAUGUGAUCGAUCAAAGAUCAAAGACAACUAAACAUGACAAGUUCCCAAGUUCGAGUGAAAGCAGUUAAUCUUGGUGGCUGGCUGGUUACUGAAGGAUGGAUGAAACCUUCUCUAUUCGAUGGAAUUCCAAAUAAAGAAUUAUUGGAUGGAACUGGCCUUCAAUUCAAGUCUGUGACAACAAGGAAAUAUCUCUGUGCAGAGUCUGGUGGAGGAACAAACCUUGUUGCCAAUCGCGACACCCCUUCGGGUUGGGAAACAUUUUCUUUGUGGAGGAUAAACGAAUCUGCAUUCAGAUUCAAGGUGUUCAGCCAGCAGUUUGUGGGGUUAGAUGGGAUUAACGCUGUUGCUGUGACCAACACUCCCACUGAUUCUGCAGUGUUUAAUAUCAUUAAGGAAAGUGACAAUUCAAACCGUGUUAGAAUCAAAGCAUUAAAUGGAUACUUCUUGCAGGCAAAAACAGAGGUGCUGGUGACUGCUGAUGUAUCACAUGUUAGCGGAUGGCGAGAAGAUGACCCAACUGUUUUUGAAAUGAAAAUUACUGGAGGGUUGCAAGGAGAAUUCCAACUCACAAAUGGUUAUGGGCCAAUAGAAGCACCGCAAAUAAUGAAGGAACAUUGGAGCACUUAUAUUGUGGAAGAGGAUUUCAUGUUCAUAGCAAAUAAUGGAUUAAAUGCUGUUAGAAUUCUCGUUGGUUGGUGGAUAGCAAGUGAUCCAACUCCACCAUGGCCUUAUGUUGGGGGUUCCUUGAACACACUUGACAAUGCCUUCUCGUGGGCAGAGAAAUAUAGAUUGAAAAUCAUUAUAAAUCUUCAUGCUGCACCUGCUUCUCAAAAUGGCUUUGAGCAUAGCUCUUCAAGAGAUGGUUCACAAGAAUGGGGAUCAGAUGAAACCAUCCAACAAACUGUUCAAAUUAUAGACUUCCUAACUGCCAGGUAUUAAAACAGACCAAGCCUUUACGCAGUUGAACUUUUAAAUGAGCCUCGCUCACCUGGUGCCACUCUAGAGAGCCUAAACAAGUACUACAAGGCUGGAUAUGAAGCAGUGCGCAAACACUCCUCCACAGCUUAUGUUGUGUUUUCAAAUAGGCUAGGUACCUCAGACCCUAAAGAAUUCUUCAAUGUUGCCAAUGACCUUACACGAUCUGUGAUAGAUGUUCACUACUACAGCCUUUUUGAAGAUUUUUUUAAAACCUUGAAUGCCCAGCAGAACAUUGAUUUCAUUUACAGCGGCCGUCAAUCGGACUUGAAUUCUGUUACAGCUUCAAAUGGUCCUCUGGUAUUUGUAGGUGAAUGGGUUGCUGAGUGGAAACUCGAUGGGGGAACCAAAGAAGAGUUACAAAGAUUCGCCAAGGCCCAGUUAGAUGUUUUUGGGCAAGCAACAUUUGGAUGGGCUUAUUGGAGUUAUAAAAAUUCCAUCAAUCACUGGAGUAUGGAGUGGAUGAUAAAAAAAUGGUUAUAUCAAGCUUUAGAAAGUUGUUGACCAUUGACCAAAAAAAAAAAGAAAGUUGUUGACCGAAAACAAAAUAAAGCUUUAAAAAGUUUGUGAUCAUCAAAUAAAGAGGAGCAUUACAAAGUUUUAUUCUUUUUA